AACUUUUAAAUCUUAUUCAUCAUUUUAUAAGGUUAUCUAAAUUAUGGAUUUUUGUACUUUGGUAUGUUGGAUUUAAUUUGGAAAUUACGUGGUUAUUUCUAUAAGUAUAUGGUGUUUGUGUUAUUCAUUGGGAGUGUGACGAUUGAGGUUUACGUACAUCUAGAUAGAUUUGAAUCUUUUGAUGGGGGGAUAAAGGAGGGAUAGUGGAGUGAAGCAGGUAAAGGCAUGGGAGUUUAUUUAUUCCAUGGUUGAACCGAAAAGCCAAUAAAGAGGAGGAGAUAUUGAAAAGCGAAGCUAAAGAAGAGAGAGGGAACCAAUGAAACCAUUCUUUUUAGGGCAUUUUGGAACAGAUGCAAGCACAUUAUAUUCUUUCACUCACAAUCAUUCAUUCCUCAUGCUAAAGCCUACAAAGACUUUUUAUUUUAUUUUCCAACCCACUAAAUGGGUUGGGGAGACUGCAACAUGAAAGGUACUUAUUAGUGCAAAUUUUAGUGAUAAUUCAAUUCCCAUCUUGGGUAGAAUCAUUGUGUUUUUUUUUUUUUUUCUUUUAUGUAUAUAUAUUUUUAAAAGUUUUUAUACCUUGAAAAGCCCCUAGUACCCAACAUAAUUCAACUACCCACUUGAAUGCUUUUCAUGAGUAAAAUCAAGAUUGCGAUUCCACCCAAAUUCGUGUAUAGUGGGUACCCAUGACAUCUAGCAAAUUUGACUUUAUUAUUAUUAUUUCUUUGUGGGAAGAUGGGAUUGAAGAUAACGAAACGGAAUAUAUUCAAUUAAAAGAUACAGUGAAGAUAGUUUGGAUUAGGGUAAGGAAAUUAAAAUCCCUUCAUGAACUUCACUUUCUGCUUUUGCGAAGCCCUUUAUCUAACUACUACUUUGAGAUAGGAACUCUUUUACUUUCUGCAAGGUAAUGGACAGAGAGAGGGGUUCUUGACACCCUUUCAACAUUCCAGACAAAAAUAGGGAUAGAAACUACACAUAAUUAUCAUUAUCAUUUUUUUUUUGUUAUAAUCCCUCUCUACACCCAUGCCAUUAAAAAUUAUAGACAUAAUUAAAUUUUAAAAUUAAACUGAUAGAAUAUAUUUUUAAUUAUAUUUUACUAUUAUCAAGAAGAAAUUAAUUAAAGCGUAAAUAUAUAUGUUUCAUAAUAAAUUUUUUAUCAUUAUGUUAUUUAUUUCAAAAUUAUUUUGAGUUUAUAAAAACAUUAAUUAUAUCAUUUUAAGAUUUAGAUAGAAUAAAUAGGGUUCAAGAUUUACAGGUAGAAACUAGACUUCAUCAAAGUUUUAUUGUAUUCAUAUUUGUCCUUUAAUCUAAUUUUAUUUUUCCUCUCUGUACUGUAAAAUUUUGACUCCAAAAAGUGGGGUUUCAUAAUGAAAUUAAGGGGUGUCAAUAGUAUUCGUCACAUGGAUUCAGAAAUUAAGCCCAUUUCAGUUUUUGGGCCAAGUGUACUAGGUGAACAACAUGAGCAAAGUCCAACAAAACACGGGCUCAUUAGUCCACUAAGAAUCCAAUUUCAAGUGACCAUACAAACAUGCAUGCAUAUAUAUACACGCACAUGUGACAACGUCACUCAUUAAAAAUUUAUAAUCUGAGCAACGUCACAGCCCUUUAUUUGCAGUGGCAAAUAGCAUUAGUCUUUUCGGCCAUUCCGGAAAAACUGAAAAAUGAAAACGCGCGCGUUCCUUCAAAUUCGGGCUCAAACAAAAAUGGGCUUCAGCAGUUUGUUUCAAUUUGAC
Molecule: long non-coding RNA, 1733 nt
Filed under: Citrus sinensis (sweet orange)
Lineage: Eukaryota; Viridiplantae; Streptophyta; Magnoliopsida; Sapindales; Rutaceae
Description: long non-coding RNA (CSIN_LNC000625)
Source: RNAcentral